GAUGAACGCUAGCGGCAGGCUUAACACAUGCAAGUCGAGGGGUAACAGGGUUGCUUGCAACCGCUGACGACCGGCGCACGGGUGCGUAACGCGUAUAGAACCUACCUUAUAUUGGGGGAUAGCCCAGAGAAAUUUGGAUUAAUACCCCAUAAUAUUAUGAAUUGGCAUCAGUUUUUAAUUAAAGAUUUAUUGAUAUAAGAUGGCUAUGCGUCCUAUUAGCUGGUUGGUAUGGUAACGGCAUACCAAGGCAACGAUAGGUAGGGGUCCUGAGAGGGAGAUCCCCCACACUGGUACUGAGACACGGACCAGACUCCUACGGGAGGCAGCAGUGAGGAAUAUUGGACAAUGGAGGCAACUCUGAUCCAGCCAUGCCGCGUGUAGGAAGACUGCCCUAUGGGUUGUAAACUACUUUUAUAUAGGAAGAAACUGCUCUACGUGUAGAGUUCUGACGGUACUAUAAGAAUAAGCAUCGGCUAACUCCG
RNAcentral lists this ribosomal RNA (482 nucleotides) under uncultured Flavobacteriaceae bacterium. RNAcentral describes it as "bacterial SSU rRNA". It matches the Rfam family "Bacterial small subunit ribosomal RNA", at positions 28 to 505 of the family's 1533-position model. The record is from RNAcentral. Lineage: Bacteria; Pseudomonadati; Bacteroidota; Flavobacteriia; Flavobacteriales; Flavobacteriaceae.